GAUGAACGCUGGCGGCGUGCUUAACACAUGCAAGUCGAACGAUGAAGCUCAGCUUGCUGGGUGGAUUAGUGGCGAACGGGUGAGUAACACGUGAGUAACCUGCCCUUAACUCUGGGAUAAGCCUGGGAAACUAGGUCUAAUACCGGAUAGGAGCGUCCACCGCAUGGUGGGUGUUGGAAAGAUUUAUCGGUUUUGGAUGGACUCGCGGCCUAUCAGCUUGUUGGUGAGUUAAUGGCUCACCAAGGCGACGACGGGUAGCCGGCCUGAGAGGGUGACCGGCCACACUGGGACUGAGACACUGCCCAGACUCCUACGGGAGGCAGCAGUGGGGAAUAUUGCACAAUGGGCGGAAGCCUGAUGCAGCGACGCCGCGUGAGGGAUAACGGCCUUCGGGUUGUAAACCUCUUUCAGUAGGGAAGAAGCGAAAGUGACGGUACCUGCAGAAGAAGCACCGGCUAACUACGUG
RNAcentral lists this ribosomal RNA (466 nucleotides) under uncultured bacterium. Its description in RNAcentral is "partial 16S ribosomal RNA". It matches the Rfam family "Bacterial small subunit ribosomal RNA", at positions 28 to 507 of the family's 1533-position model. The record is from RNAcentral.